RNAcentral lists this long non-coding RNA (3601 nucleotides) under Sus scrofa (pig). RNAcentral's name for it is "lncRNA (ENSSSCG00045038833.1, ENSSSCG00150015956.1)". Lineage: Eukaryota; Metazoa; Chordata; Mammalia; Artiodactyla; Suidae. The record is from RNAcentral.
GAUUGUUUCCAUGUCUUAUUUUUUAAGGAACUUUUCCACUGUUUUCCACAGUGGCUGCACCAAUUUACAUUCCCACCAACAGUUUAGGAGGGUUCCCUUUUUUCCAUACCCUCUCCAGCAUUUAUUAUUUGUGGUCUUUUUGAUGACGGCCAUUGUGACCAGUGUGAGGGCAUACUCAUUGUGGUUUUGGUUUGCAUUUCUCUAAUUGUCUGGUCCCUCUGUGUGAUUUCUCUCAAUUCUUGCCCACAUGCAGCAAGGAUUUGGAGGUGUGGGCAGUCUGGCAGGGGGACUAUUCCGGCUGGGAAAUGUGGGGAUCACAAUCGAACUCAAAUGGUAGUAGUGUAUAGCAAAUUUUAUUUAUGCCCUCAGAGAGAGAGCAGGCCACCCUGGAGUACAGACUGGCUCUGGUCACAGCUGGGUCUUUCCUUAUAUCCCCAUACAGUGAAUGUAGUUGGGGACCUGAAUUUUCCUGCCCUGAGCCCCACUCAUUUUCCUGUCCCAGCCCUGCUGCACCAUCUGUAAAGGCAGUGUUGUUUGAUCUCUGUAUGAGGGUGCAUUUUGAUCCUCUGGUUGUUUUCAGGCUGGAUACCUUAUUAGCAUGAGGAACAGGUUAUAUAGAGGCAAGGUAAGGAAUGGGUGACAUUUCUUCCCUAACAGGGAGUGAGCAGCCCAGGUUGCUCAAGGUGGGGGAAGGGGUAUUACAAUGAAACCUGGUCAGUGGCUUUUGGGUUUGAUCUUCUUGAUGGGGACUUGAAGCCUAUAACAUGAUAAUUGGCGAUAUUGAGCAACUUUUCAUGUGUGUGUUGGCCAUCUAGUGUCUUCUUUGGACAUUGUCUGUUUAGGUCUUCUACCCUAAAAUGGGCAUAUUAAUGCAUGACUCCGUGGAGUUAUGGUAAGAAUUGACCAAGAUGGACUUAGUGUUUCCCUCAACUUGACUAGAGUUUGGGCAGGCUUCUUUCUGCCCCUUGGCCCUUGACCUCACCCCAGACAUCCUAUGAUCCUUGCACCCUAUUCCACCUCUUAAAAACCCUACCACCCUUUGAUUCAUUGGAGAUAAGUUGAGAUUGAGUUAUGAAGAAAAAUGUGGAAGUCCUGACUAUUAUAAUCCUUCCAGGAAUACAUAGACAGAAGAGAAUAUGUUCAGAGAAUUCUUGAUUUUCUUUGUCCCACAAAAGAAAAACUCAGGGGUAAAGGAGAGAAUGGGUCUUACACAAAACUUUGAGUUAUUCAAAACUCUGGCAAUGCAUCAUAAGCCAUGGGGUGGGCACUAAACUAAAAGCACCAAGAUUAAUAAUUUUCUGAGCCAAAGUACCUGAAGAAGUCAGAGGCCUCAGAAACCUGCUGAAGGGCACUGAGAAUAGAUACAUUUUAUAAAAUUCCUUUAAAAGGCUACUGGUCCACACCCUUUUGUGCUUUGGAUUAUUCCCAGUGUUUACUGUAGAAAGGGAGAGAUUAGAGAUGAAAUAUAUAGUCAUAGUUAAUAUCUCACCUCCCUUCCAUCAUACCAAAAACAAACAAACCCAAACAUGCCUUACCUACCAACUUAGCUAUUUCCAUUUUCAUCUAUUCUUAAUUUGGGACUGGAGCUGUGGUCAGCAGGGGUUCAGUAAAUGAUUUUCCUCACAAUAGCACUGCUGCUCUCUGCCUCACUGCUUUUUUCCUUGAGGGCAGAGAUGUCUAGGAAUCUCAUCCUGGCACUAUAUUCCUUGGUUGUUGGUUUUCUUCGACUCCCCUCCUCUCCCUGACAGGAAAUAGGAGGACCUAGGUGAUACUUUUUCCCAAGCUACGGCUACCAUAGCAAUGAAUAUGCACUGGGGUAAGAUAAGCCGUGUUACCAGGCUGUAGAGUCUUCCUUCAAAAUAUUUGAUGGAUUAAUUCCCAGAAACCUGCUUGCUCUGAGAUAAGGAGUGUGUGAGAGUGUGGUAGAGGAGUGUGGGGGUGCAGAUGGUGGUGGCCAUUUCUCAUUCAGUCACAACUAUUGGCUGAAAAUUAUCAUUACAAACAUACGUGUCACACUAUUCAGGGUUACAGAAUGCCUGGGAGAGAACUGAUCUAGAAUGAGGGUAUAUAUGAUAAACAAUAGGUAUCAGCAGGAGAGAGAGGCAGCACUGGGCUCCCCCUGACCCCAGAGUCACGGUAUCUCUCUUUUUUAUCCUCUUUGUCAUAGUCAAGUUCAAAGAGAUUUAGCACACAGGGACACCAGGCUGUCAGCUGAAUCUUCACUUAGACUUGAACUUCCAGCCUGAAUCUCUUUAUGUUUCUCUAUGGUAAACCAGACUGGGCAAUACCAACAGUGACGGUUUGAAAAUUGUCUGUUUACCUUUAAUUUAUUCUGCCUUACUUUGUCCAUAAAUGCAUCUGUUUUUGUCAGAGCAGGCCCCAGAUGAGCUGGAUGCUCCUCUUGCUACUUUAAGCUUUCGGUUUCUAAGAGCCAGCUCACUCCUCUGUCCUCCUUCCUCCCCUCUCAGAAUACAUGCACACAUGGAAUCCUCUGUCAGCUCCUAAACAUUUUUAUAUUUAGAGUUAUUAACCUUAGUAUCCUGUUGCUAAACAUAUAGCUCCUCUGUUAUGAAGCCUAUGACUGGGCAAUAGCCUUCUUUGUAUUUGACUGAAGUAGGUGAUUAAGUUCUUGGUAGUGAAAAGUAAGAAAAUGUGUUGUAUAGAAAUCAUGGGAAGUCUCUUUCUUCCCUUCCACUUUUCUGAUACUGAUGCUUAAAAUGUGGCUGUGAUAGCUGGAACUCCAGCAGCCUUUUUGGAGUAUGAUGAUGAAGGCUACAUCCUAGCAAUCACAGAAAGAGUCUAUGUCUCUGGUGGACAUGGAGCUAUUAUUCUAGUCUGGUCCUGGACUCUUUCAUACUUUUUUUUUUUCUUGUGUGUAUGACAAAUAAACUCUUAUUAGCUAUUUCAUCUCCAGUUGGAAUAUUUUUAAAUCUUAUUUUAACUACAAUAUGUGAGCAUGUGCUAACAUGCUGAGUUUACUUUUCUCCUGUUGUUAUUCUAUUCUCCUGUUGUUAAAUUUCUGUGACAACUCCUAAUAUCUUUAUGUAUCUUCCUCUAUUUUAAAUUUUCCCUUAAAUAAACUUUAGUGGAAAUCACUGUUCCAGGAACUAUGCCAGGCUACUGGAAAACAAUGGUUAAUCUAUAAUACUUCAUGGCUGUGAGGCAUUCACCUGAACUCCAUUCCAAAGAAGUACAGGAGAAUGACAUCGGGUGAAUGUCACUACCACCCAAAUCAGCUUUGCUCUUGGCAUAUAGAAAGAGUAGGUCUGUCUCUGGCCUUGAAAAAAAAAUGUAGUAUAAUAGAAAAGGAGAACAGAAAGGCUUAAAAUAAUGAAUGUUUAUAGGCAUCCAGGGAGAAUGAAAUUAGUGUUUCUUUUCUUUUCAGGCUUAUUGUUGAAAAAUUAAUAAUCUUCUGGAGGUCUGCUAUUAAAAUAGAAUUAGCAGUGACCUCAUAGAGAGCCCUAAAACUUACAAAUUGUGUUCCCUCUUGCCUUCACUGGUUGGGUGCAAUCCAAAGUGCGUCGAUUAUGAAUGGUCUAACUUUUGCAAAACAGCUUUUCUUUUCUCUAAUUUUUGCAGUUGCUUUAAAAAAAAAAAAAAA